GGCCAGAUAGCUCAGUUGGUAGAGCAGGGGACUGAAAAUCCCCGUGUCGGGGGUUCGAUUCCCUCUCUGGCCACCA
RNAcentral lists this transfer RNA (76 nucleotides) under Lysobacteraceae bacterium. RNAcentral describes it as "tRNA-Phe". It matches the Rfam family "tRNA". Rfam says of the family: Transfer RNA (tRNA) molecules are approximately 80 nucleotides in length. The record is from RNAcentral. Lineage: Bacteria; Pseudomonadati; Pseudomonadota; Gammaproteobacteria; Lysobacterales; Lysobacteraceae.